GUGGGGAAUCUUAGACAAUGGGCGCAAGCCUGAUCUAGCCAUGCCGCGUGAGCGAUGAAGGCCUUAGGGUUGUAAAGCUCUUUCGUGGGGGAAGAUAAUGACUGUACCCCAAGAAGAAGCCCCGGCUAACUCCGUGCCAGCAGCCGCGGUAAUACGGAGGGGGCUAGCGUUGUUCGGAAUUACUGGGCGUAAAGCGCACGUAGGCGGACUGGAAAGUCAGGGGUGAAAUCCCGGGGCUCAACCCCGGAACUGCCUUUGAAACUCCCAGUCUUGAGUUCGAGAGAGGUGAGUGGAAUUCCGAGUGUAGAGGUGAAAUUCGUAGAUAUUCGGAGGAACACCAGUGGCGAAGGCGGCUCACUGGCUCGAUACUGACGCUGAGGUGCGAAAACGUGGGGAGCAAACAGGAUUAGAUACCCCAGUAGUCC
RNAcentral lists this ribosomal RNA (425 nucleotides) under uncultured bacterium. RNAcentral describes it as "partial 16S ribosomal RNA". It matches the Rfam family "Bacterial small subunit ribosomal RNA", at positions 354 to 796 of the family's 1533-position model. The record is from RNAcentral.